Long non-coding RNA from Daphnia pulicaria, 1285 nucleotides. RefSeq lists it as uncharacterized. The transcript has 10 exons. NCBI's taxonomy places the organism in Eukaryota, Metazoa, Arthropoda, Branchiopoda, Diplostraca, Daphniidae. The record is from RefSeq and is a predicted model, not a curated record.
AAAUCUUGAAAAAAUUAACCGAAACUUGGUCUGCGUCCGGCUGAAGCAACGACACCUGAGCAGCGAUGACACUUAACUGACUCGUUUCUCGACAAUGCAAGUGACCGUUGUGACAAUCCAGUCAUUAUUAUAAAUCCAUCCACCGCAUGUUCAUUCACCACUAUCGAAACCAAAAAAGUAAUUACCUGAUGUAAGGGCGACGAAGGCGAGAGCAGUUAUUAGAGCUGUGAGCUUCAUUGCGAUACUUUUGCUUCUUUUUGACUGUCCAACAAUUGCUGACGAGUUUUUGUUGGCUUCCUGACAUACCACAGAGAUUUGUCUUAGACCCGUUAGGAUGUGAAAUUCAAGAACCCGAUGGGCGAUAGCGUUGCUAUACGAAAGCUGUUCUCCGGCAAGCUUAUUGAACCAAGGAUAAUAAGGAGACAUUCUGGUGUAAAUGGUUGGUUGGAAAUUGUUUCCACAACUGGCAUUCUUGGACAUGAUUCCAACCACUCCCACUGUUCCACUGAUGUUUUUGUUUUGCACCAAAGGCGAACCUUCGUCGCAAUGGCAGGGGCUUCCAGUAUCUAGUGACUCCUCCAGCGCAGAUCAUGUAAGCUGAGUAAAACUGAUCCGCGCCGUAAUCUCUGCAGUCUGUUCCGAAUGAAACUUGAAUGGAACGCAGCCCGGCAAUCACUAAACCACCUUCCUUUAUAAAAGUGACUCCCCGUCCAAUGAAGGUGCCAUUGUCGGAAAGAGCUUCUUUCGCCUCACUGUGCGGGAUAAAGUUGACGUUGGUGCUAAAUUCGAUAGGUGGAGACGUCUAAGGAAAGCGCCAAUCAAUUGAACUUUUAGAUUAUGCCACAAGCAAUUUGAUGUCAGCCUUUACGUAUGUUUCGCGAGAUAGUAGCGAUGAUAACGAUGAUAACGAUCAGGCUGACUGCAUCUAGCGGGGAACUCGUGCGUCACGACUCACGCGAGAUCACUUUUUUACAAGGAUAGAUUGGAUAAAACUGGUUGCAAUCCAGCCGUAGUGGAUAUCCAAUUGUAGUAAGGUGACAGCCGUGUGAAAAUGGUCGGUUCAAUCGUUCCAGCUGCGUCGCAGCCCUUAUUCCUCGACAUGACUCCAACAACAAAUCCAUUCUGCAUCAAAGGUGAUCCUUCGUCAUAGUAACAUGGACUUGCAUGGUCUAGUUCAUCUAUGGUGCAGUCUUUAUCCUUGACCAGGCAAUAUCAUGGCUGUGACGCUGAGUAGGAACUGAUAGCGCUUAUCAAGCAACACAACAAAUCAAAUUGAAGAUGCUCG